GAUAGCUCGUUCUCUCCGAAAUGCAUCUAGGUGCAGCCUUGCGUGUUUAAUGAUGGGGGUAGAGCACUGACUGAACUAGGGGGCAUAUAGCUUACUGAAUUCAAUCAAACUCCGAAUACCAUUAUUCAAGAGCGCAGGAGUGAGACCAUGGGAGUUAACUUCCAUCGUCGAAAGGGAAACAACCCAGACCACCAGCUAAGGUCCCAAAUCAUAUCUAAGUGGGAAAGGAGGUGGAGAUUCUUAAACAACUAGGAG
Molecule: ribosomal RNA, 255 nt
Filed under: Fusobacterium necrophorum
Lineage: Bacteria; Fusobacteriati; Fusobacteriota; Fusobacteriia; Fusobacteriales; Fusobacteriaceae
Description: partial 23S ribosomal RNA
Rfam family: Bacterial large subunit ribosomal RNA
Source: RNAcentral